Mus musculus (house mouse) is the source of this 2379-nucleotide RNA transcript. It is a transcript of the gene named chromobox 1, with no coding region annotated. The record is from RefSeq and is marked validated. The transcript has 5 exons. Lineage: Eukaryota; Metazoa; Chordata; Mammalia; Rodentia; Muridae.
GCAGUGCAGGCGGCGGGCCGCGCAGAGUGAGAGGCUCUUUUGUUCGGCUGAGGGGAGGGCCGUUAGCGGGGCCUGCGGUACGCCGCUUCAGCGGGACGGUCGACUUGUGGCCACACGGCUCUUUGCUCCUCUGGGCGCGCUACUCCCCUCGGACCGCCCGACGCAACGCGCGAGUAGCGCGGCACCGAUUCCUCUCGGACUCUCGGGCGCUGCUACGAGCAGUGUCACCCUUCACACCAGAAAGCUGGCGGGUACUAUGGGGAAAAAGCAAAACAAGAAGAAAGUGGAGGAGGUACUAGAAGAAGAGGAAGAGGAAUAUGUGGUGGAAAAAGUUCUUGAUCGGCGAGUUGUCAAGGGCAAGGUGGAAUAUCUUCUAAAGUGGAAGGGUUUCUCAGAUGAGGACAACACUUGGGAGCCAGAAGAGAAUCUGGAUUGCCCUGACCUUAUUGCUGAGUUUCUACAGUCACAGAAAACAGCUCAUGAGACAGAUAAGUCAGAGGGAGGCAAGCGCAAAGCUGAUUCUGAUUCUGAAGAUAAAGGAGAGGAAAGCAAACCAAAGAAGAAGAAAGAAGAGUCAGAAAAGCCACGAGGCUUUGCCCGGGGUUUGGAGCCAGAGCGGAUUAUUGGAGCUACUGACUCCAGUGGAGAGCUCAUGUUCCUGAUGAAAUGGUGAGUCUCCUGGUGGCGCUGUGUUGUUUUUUUUCCUUCUCCCUAUCUGUUCUAUGCCAGAGGAAAAGAGCUGGACCUUCGAAAUUCCAGUCGCCCAGGUGUGAAAUCUUUAAGAUGACAUAGUCCUUCGAUAGUGACCCUCGGCCUGACUGCCAACCUGGACUCAUGAGUUACAGGAAAAACUCUGAUGAGGCUGACCUGGUCCCUGCCAAGGAAGCCAAUGUCAAGUGCCCACAGGUUGUCAUAUCCUUCUAUGAGGAAAGGCUAACGUGGCAUUCCUACCCCUCAGAGGAUGAUGACAAAAAAGACGACAAGAAUUAGCCCUGUUGAGUACCAGCCCCUGUCACCUCUGACUGUGGGUUUCAAGGGGGAGGGAAGGAGUUAUACUUGUCUUGACACCAUAGAGGUGGCUUGAGAAGAUGUCCUUUGAAGAGCCAGCAUAGUUUGUGUGUCCUGCAGCUGCCCAAGUGCUUUAAAUUGUUCAAGCUGUGUAGUUUGCACACCCAUCCCAGUGGAGGGGAAAGGGUAAGUGUUUCAAGGCAACCUGUUCUGCGCUUUGCUAAGGAAGCAGUUGGCCUUCCAUGAAGGACAAAACCUGCAGAACUGGGGUGUGGGAAAGCAAAGAUACUGUCGAUCUUCAAAGAGCAUCUCCACAACCCACAGCCUUCUUCCCGAUAGUGUUAACUGCAUUUUUACAGCCUAGCAUGUGUGUAGUUUUUGGCUAUUACUGGUAUAUUAAUUGGGGGUGGGAGGGUUGGGGCAGGGAGGAAGGGAGAUGGGUAGAAUCAUUUUGGUUAAAAUUUGGGGCCUGAUUGGGGAAAUGAUGAAAUAGUAGAACAGCUAACUAAUAAAUUGGUUCUGUGUCCAGAAUAUUUUGCCUUUUCAAAAAAAAUGUCAUUGGCACCAUAAGUAAGGACUAUGAGAGACUGUUAAAAAAAAAAAAAAAAAAAAAAAAAAGUCUGUUAAUCCUAAAACCUACAGCCAAGGUGCUCCCAGCCUGAGCUCAAAGUGGCCCACAAAGGACAAAGCCAGUUCUGAGUUACCAAAGCUGCCAUUUGAUGAUGGAAACUGACUGGAGAGGGAAAGGUUACAGGAGAGUAUAUAGAGGCAGACUACUCUGCCAUAGAGGUGCUAAUUCUUGAAAUUGGAGAAAAAAAAAACUUUUUCCAAUUACAAAGUUAUAUCAGUUUGUCCAUCUAAGCCAUUGGCUCAAGUAUUGCAGGAUGGCCUAUGGGAGAUGGAAGAGAAGGGCCUUUGCUCUUAGGGUAGAAACUCUUAGAGCCCCUCUCUCUCUUUCUUUUUUUUUUUUCUUUCUUUCUUUUCUAUUUUUGUUUUUUUUUUAAUUUUUUUUUUUUAUUUUCAGCUUUGAACCCUGAAACUGCUUGUGGCAGGUUCAGUUACUGACAGCACAAAUUCCAUUGAGUCAAUUCAAGGAUUGAAUGACUUCACAAGCCCUGGUCUCAGGAGAUUAACUUUCAUAUUGGGGUAGUGGUUCACUUGAGAAUACAAAAUCUUCAGAUUAACUGAUGUCCAAAAUACUGUCUUGAAUCAUGAGAUCCAUCAAUUUUUAGUAUUGUCUAGACCUACAAAUAGAACUACAUUGUAAAAUCUUUUUCAGCAUGUGUUAAGAUGUAUGUGAAAAUUUCUGUUUAAGUUUAAAGUUCAUACCAUACUGUCAGUUUUUGUCUUAAUAAAAUUAUAGAUUUCUAA